This 508-nucleotide ribosomal RNA is filed under the name uncultured bacterium. RNAcentral's name for it is "partial 16S ribosomal RNA". It matches the Rfam family "Bacterial small subunit ribosomal RNA", at positions 28 to 523 of the family's 1533-position model. The record is from RNAcentral.
GACGAACGCUGGCGGCGCGCUUGACACAUGCAAGUCGAGCGAGAACCAGGGCUUCGGCCCUGGGGACAGCGGCGAACGGGUGAGUAACACGUGGGUAAUCUGCCCUCGGCACCGGAAUAGCCCGGGGAAACCCGGAUUAAUGCCGGAUGGCCACUUCACCUCGCGAGGUGUCGGGAAAAGGUAGCUUCGGCCUUUGGCCGAGGAUGAGCCCGCGGCGGAUUAGCUUGUUGGCGGGGUAACGGCCCACCAAGGAGACGAUCCGGAGCUGGUCUGAGAGGACGAUCAGCCACACGGGGACUGAGACACGGCCCAGACUCCUACGGGAGGCAGCAGUGGGGAUUCUUGCGCAAUGGGCGAAAGCCCGACGCAGCGACGCCGCGUGAGGGAAGAAGGCCUUGGGGUUGUAAACCUCUUUCAGGAGGGACGAAGCUACUCGGGUGAAUAGCCCAGAGGGUGACGGUACCUCCAGAAGAAGCCCCGGCUAACUACGUGCCUGCCGCCGCCGUAA